Molecule: non-coding RNA, 41 nt
Filed under: Trypanosoma brucei brucei
Lineage: Eukaryota; Euglenozoa; Kinetoplastea; Trypanosomatida; Trypanosomatidae
Source: RNAcentral
AAAUUGAAGGGGAGACAGUUCCCCGUAACUAGGUAUAAUAU